GCGGGAAUAGCUCAGUUGGUAGAGCACGACCUUGCCGAGGUCGGGGUCGCGAGUUCGAGUCUCGUUUCCCGCUCCA
Molecule: transfer RNA, 76 nt
Filed under: Pseudomonas aeruginosa
Lineage: Bacteria; Pseudomonadati; Pseudomonadota; Gammaproteobacteria; Pseudomonadales; Pseudomonadaceae
Also listed under: 5 other names
Description: tRNA-Gly
Rfam family: tRNA
About the family: Transfer RNA (tRNA) molecules are approximately 80 nucleotides in length. Their secondary structure includes four short double-helical elements and three loops (D, anti-codon, and T loops).
Source: RNAcentral